GAAGCGCGAAAUGUAGUGUGAAUCGCAGAACAUUGUGAAUCAUCGAAUCUUUGAACGCACAUUGCGCCUCUCGUAACAGGGAGGCAUGCCUGUCUGAGUCUCAUUUAAUCUCUAAAUCCAUUUGGGUUUGUGCCUGGGUGCUCGCCUAUUGGGCGUCGCCUCGAAGUCAUCUGUCUGAUGAGCGGAUGAGAUCCUUCUGGACUGACCGUUUGUUGGGCCCCAAAACUCUGAUUUGAGCUCAGAUCAGGUAGGACUACCGCCUGAACUUAA
RNAcentral lists this unclassified non-coding RNA (270 nucleotides) under uncultured Archaeorhizomyces. RNAcentral's name for it is "sequence contains ITS1". The stretch from base 1 to 103 matches the Rfam family "5.8S ribosomal RNA", at positions 50 to 154 of the family's 154-position model. Lineage: Eukaryota; Fungi; Ascomycota; Archaeorhizomycetes; Archaeorhizomycetales; Archaeorhizomycetaceae. The record is from RNAcentral.